CCUAUGGGGGGCAGCAGGCGCGAAACCUCCGCAAUGCGAGCAAUCGCGACGGGGGGACCCCAAGUGCCACUCUUAACGGGGUGGCUUUUCUUAAGUGUAAAAAGCUUUUGGAAUAAGGGCUGGGCAAGACCGGUGCCAGCCGCCGCGGUAACACCGGCAGCUCUAGUGGUAGCCAUUUUUAUUGGGCCUAAAGCGUUCGUAGCCGGUUUGAUAAGUCUCUGGUGAAAUCCUAUAGCUUAACUGUGGGACUUGCUGGAGAUACUAUUAGACUUGAGGUCGGGAGAGGUUAGCGGUACUCCCAGGGUAGGGGUGAAAUCCUGUAAUCCUGGGAGGACCACCUGUGGCGAAGGCGGCUAACUGGAACGAACCUGACGGUGAGGGACGAAAGCCAGGGGCGCGAACCGGAUUAGAUACCCGUGUAGUCC
Molecule: ribosomal RNA, 425 nt
Filed under: uncultured Methanobacteriaceae archaeon
Lineage: Archaea; Methanobacteriati; Methanobacteriota; Methanobacteria; Methanobacteriales; Methanobacteriaceae
Description: bacterial SSU rRNA
Rfam family: Archaeal small subunit ribosomal RNA
Source: RNAcentral